AUGCUUGAAGAACUACUCAAAAUCUAUCACACUAUUGAAGCUUUUUACUUGGAUCAUCUUCUAUCCAUUUGUGCUCGUGCUGAAACCCCAACUAGCUUAGUUGAGGGCAAAUCUUUAGAUGAGCAUGCUUGUUAUGUGCGACACCGUAUAUCGGAAAAAGGGAAACUAUUAUGGGAUCAAAUUCAACGUUUGCAAUGCUAUGCUUGGACUUUAUGUCAAUUAUAUGAUAUUACUUGUUGUUCUGAAAACCCUAAGAAACACCUUCCCUACCAAUGUGAGUUUGAUAAUGGGAUCGUAUCUUCAUAUGCUAAGGGUGUUUAUAAUUACUAUGAUGUUCAACAAAUUGAAGAAUUUGUUGCUUUUAAGGGUGCUUUUGAAAUUGUUUCUUUGAUUGAAGAGUAUGAUGCUACACUUUACAAAUCUGAAAGUUUUGCCAUACUUGAAUAUUGUUAUGAUAAUUAUGCUUCUAAUGCCUAUGUUAAACCAUAUAUUGAGAAAUUCUCCGCUGUCCAAGAAGAGACUAAUAUUUUGCAGGAAGCUAUGGAAGAAGAAAUUGAUGAAACUGUGAGCUCAUUGGAUGAAAAAGAUGAUGAGGAGAGCGAAGAACAAAAGGAGGAAGAGCGGAUUAGCUACCCAUGCCCACCUUCUAAUGAGAAUAACUCUUCAACUCAUACAUUGUUUAAUUCCCCUUUGUGCUUACCGAAGGAUGAUUGCUAUGAUGAUUGUUAUGAUCCCGUUGAUUCUCUUGAAAUAUCCCCUUUUAAUGAUGCUUUCUAUGCUUGUGGCCAAGAUGCCAAUAUGAAUUAUGCUUAUGGAGAUGAACUUUCUAUAGUUCCUUAUGUUAAACAUGCAAUUGUUGCUAUUUCACCCACGCAUGAUAGUCCUAUUAUCUUUCUGAAUUCUCCCUACUACACUAUAUCGAAGAAGUUUGUGCUUAUUAAGGAUUAUAUUGAUGGGUUGCCUUUUACCAUUGCACAGGAUGAUUUUGAUGAAUAUAAUAUGCAUGUGCUUGCUGCUCCUACUUGCAAUUAUUAUGAGAGAGGAACUUUAUCUCCACCUCUCUAUGUUUCCAAUACGAUAGAAUUGCUAGAAACUGUUUAUACUAUGCAUUGGCCUUUACUAUGUGUGCAUGAAUUGUUCUUUUAUGACAUGCCGAUGCAUAGAAAGAGAGUUAGACUUCGUUGUUGCAUGAUAUAUGUUACUUUGUGCUCACUACUAAAUUACAAAUCAUUGUUAAUUAAAAUUGGCUUUGAUAUACCUUGGGAUCCGGGUGGAUUCAUUAGUUGA
Molecule: ribosomal RNA, 1287 nt
Filed under: Triticum aestivum (bread wheat)
Lineage: Eukaryota; Viridiplantae; Streptophyta; Magnoliopsida; Poales; Poaceae
Description: partial small subunit ribosomal RNA
Source: RNAcentral